Non-coding RNA from Podarcis muralis (Common wall lizard), 1117 nucleotides. The record is from RefSeq and is a predicted model, not a curated record. Lineage: Eukaryota; Metazoa; Chordata; Lepidosauria; Squamata; Lacertidae.
CACUUGCCCUCCGGCUGCUGCUGCAGCCGCUGCUGCUUUAGCGAUAAUAGUUGUAGCGGCGGCGGCGGCAGUUAAGGAGAGCGCGAGAAACCCCUCAGCAAACAGGAACAGAUCCAUUCAUCUACACAGGAGCGCAGUAUGAUCCAAGAACCUUGUGCUAAUAUACGCAACUUCUGAGGGCGCCGUGCCUGCUCAUCUAGGUUGGGAAUGAGGUGGUGAUGGAUAGAAACUAUGGCCUCAAUGGAGGUAAGAAGCCCAGGUCAAGGAGCUUAUGCUGUCAGAUCCUGAAGUACAAGACUUGAAAAAACCAUCACUUUCAUUGUCUGAUAGCACAUUUGUUAAAUAACCGAAUGCAGCCUGUUGCUAACCAAGGUUGAGGCCUUAAUAUUUAUCCUCCAUUAAGAAGCCCAAGAAAUGCACUUAUGGGCAGGUCUGCCUUAUUAAUCAGAUACCUCUCUAUCCUACCAUGAAGCAAAUUCCUCCCCUUUUUGAGAUGGGUACCGAGGCUUGAAAAUUUCCCAUCCAGAAAACUGAAAGUUGAAUUUUUUUUUUGUAAAAAAAGAAGCAUUUCUAUUGAGCAUAAUAGAUUCAGACAUUGCAAAUGAAAAUAAGAGAAUAUUCCUUUAUGCAGCAUCUGCAGCAAGAAUACUAAUUGCAAAAAACUGGAAAAGUGAAACAGUACCAACAAAAAAAGAGUGGCAAAAGAGAUUUUUUUAUUACCUUGAAUUGGCAAAAAUGACGGAUGCAAAUUAAAACCUGGUCUUGCUUCGAAUAAUUUUUGCAAAACAAAACACGGUUUACAAAUACAACAUAUGGAGAAGGGUAGAAAAGACGAAAUGAGAAAGAAACAGUUUAUCAAGUUUAAAAUCAGACCCGUGUUGAGGAGGAAGGAAGUCUAUUAAAAUAGAAUAAGAACUAACGAUUGGAUAACAUAAGUCCGUGUGCAGAUACUUGCGGAUUUAUGGAUAUAUAUUUAUAAUUUAUUUUGUGUUUUCUUUUGUAGUUUGUUUUCUAAGUGUCGUGUGUGUAUGUGCUGUAAUAAUAAGUUAAUAAAAGCAUUUAACAAAAAAAAGAAAGAAAGAAAGAAAGAAAGAAAGAAAGAAAGAAAGAAAGAAAA